AUUGAACGCUGGCGGCAGGCUUAACACAUGCAAGUCGAGCGGAGUGAUGGUGCUUGCACUAUCACUUAGCGGCGGACGGGUGAGUAAUGCUUAGGAAUCUGCCUAUUAGUGGGGGACAACAUCUCGAAAGGGAUGUUAAUACCGCAUACGUCCUACGGGAGAAAGCAGAGGAUCACUUGUGACCUUGCGCUAAUAGAUGAGCCUAAGUCGGAUUAGCUAGUUGGUGGGGUAAAGGCCUACCAAGGCGACGAUCUGUAGCGGGUCUGAGAGGAUGAUCCGCCACACUGGGACUGUGACACGGUCCAGACUCCUACGGGAGGCAGCAGUGGGGAAUAUUGGACAAUGGGGGGAACCCUGAUCCAGCCAUGCCGCGUGUGUGAAGAAGGCCUUAUGGUUGUAAAGCACUUUAAGCGAGGAGGAGGCUCUUUUGGUUAACACCCAAGAUGAGUGGACGUUACUCGCAGAAUAAGCACCGGCUAACUCUGUGCCAGCCGCCGCUGUAA
Molecule: ribosomal RNA, 503 nt
Filed under: uncultured bacterium
Lineage: Bacteria
Description: partial 16S ribosomal RNA
Rfam family: Bacterial small subunit ribosomal RNA
Source: RNAcentral